CCCACUGCAAAAUCUGUUUAAGGUUUAGGAGGGUCCUAUGUUCAAAAGUUUGCUGGUGUGUAUCUUUGUUGGCUCGACAUGUUUUUAAUUUAUGAUUGUUGUUGGUGGAGAGAGCGGAAGAUGCCGGGGACAGUUUGGAGAAGAUCAAGCGGCAGCUGGCCUCUGGGUCUGGUCGGAAUUUGUUGCAGGGUCCCCUUCUAAAGCGAUCUGAAACAUUGAGGAAAUGGAAUGAGCGAUGGGUAGUUUUGGACCCAACAACAGGGAAAAUGGAGUAACCAUACGUCCCAUUUACACUGUUUUUGGUCCUUCCUUGCUUGGUUCAAUGUAGUAAUAUGUUGGUGGAAACAGCUCAUUUCUAAUGCUGCUGCCGAUGGUGAUGGGGUCAAUGGACCUCUGCCAAGAGUGUUCAUAUCACAAAUUGUUGUGGAUUAGUUGAGUAAAUAAACUCAGAUGACAUGAAUAGCGCCAAACAACUACAAAGAGAACUGCCAUACUCCUAUAAUUGCUGCUAACCUACCUAACUAAGAAUAUACGACAAUCUCGAAAAUGUGCCAAUGAGAGACAUCAUCAGAUCCAGAGAUCAAGUUUGCCAAGAACUACUCAUAGUAGAAUUUGCAAAUAUGUGGUGCAAACUGAGCCAAGAAUAGACAACUCCAACCUUUUUGGAAUAGACGUGGUUAUCAACC
Molecule: long non-coding RNA, 686 nt
Organism: Cucumis sativus (cucumber)
Lineage: Eukaryota; Viridiplantae; Streptophyta; Magnoliopsida; Cucurbitales; Cucurbitaceae
Exons: 3
Source: RefSeq, a predicted model, not a curated record